AAUUUUCUUCUUUAAACUUUAAUGUUGUCGUCACUACAUCUGGAAAACAACCUGGUCUCUUUUAAAAUACUUUUAAUUUGUUCUUACGUGGUUUUCCAGAUGUAGUGACGACAACAUUAAAGUUU
Molecule: non-coding RNA, 125 nt
Organism: Paramuricea clavata
Lineage: Eukaryota; Metazoa; Cnidaria; Anthozoa; Malacalcyonacea; Plexauridae
Source: the annotation of a GenBank genome assembly